UACAGAGGUCCCAAGCGUUGUUCGGAUUCACUGGGCGUAAAGGGUGCGUAGGUGGUCGGGUAAGUCUGAUGUGAAAUCUCCGGGCCUAACCCGGAAACUGCAUCGGAUACUAUUCGGCUAGAGGGUUGGAGGGGGGACUGGAAUACUUGGUGUAGCAGUGAAAUGCGUAGAUAUCAAGUGGAACACCAGUGGCGAAGGCGAGUCCCUGGACAACUCCUGACGCUGAGGCACGAAAGCUAGGGGAGCAAACAGG
This 253-nucleotide ribosomal RNA is filed under the name uncultured bacterium. RNAcentral's name for it is "partial 16S ribosomal RNA". It matches the Rfam family "Bacterial small subunit ribosomal RNA", at positions 524 to 776 of the family's 1533-position model. The record is from RNAcentral.